GACGAACGCUGGCGGCGUGCUUAACACAUGCAAGUCGAACGAAGAGCGAUGGAAGCUUGCUUCUAUCAAUCUUAGUGGCGAACGGGUGAGUAACGCGUAAUCAACCUGCCCUUCAGAGGGGGACAACAGUUGGAAACGACUGCUAAUACCGCAUACGAUCUAAUCUCGGCAUCGAGGAUAGAUGAAAGGUGGCCUCUACAUGUAAGCUAUCACUGAAGGAGGGGAUUGCGUCUGAUUAGCUAGUUGGAGGGGUAACGGUCCACCAAGGCGAUGAUCAGUAGCCGGUCGGAGGGGAGGAGCGGCCACUUGGGGACUGGAACAGGGCCCGCACUCUUAGGGGAGGCAGCAGGGGGGAAUUUGCCGCAAUGGAAGAAAGUCUGGCGGGGAAACGCGGCGUGAGAGAGGGCGGCUUUGGGGUUGAAAGGCUUUGUUAGGCGGGAGGAAGGGCUUUCUUGAAAAUAGGGAGAGGGAUUGACGUUACCGGAAUAGAAGGCCAGGGCUAACUACGGG
This 510-nucleotide ribosomal RNA is filed under the name uncultured bacterium. Its description in RNAcentral is "partial 16S ribosomal RNA". It matches the Rfam family "Bacterial small subunit ribosomal RNA", at positions 28 to 507 of the family's 1533-position model. The record is from RNAcentral.